AUCCUUUUGGCAUGGCAGUAUUGUAGCCUAUGCGGUUUAUCGAGGCGGAUUAUUGCUAGUUGAAACUUUACCCAAUACCUGCCUUAGUGAAUUAAUAUAGUCAGCAGUGGCACUUGUGUUUUAGUCUCUCAGGAGA
Molecule: small nuclear RNA, 136 nt
Organism: Larimichthys crocea (large yellow croaker)
Lineage: Eukaryota; Metazoa; Chordata; Actinopteri; Sciaenidae
Gene: U4
Rfam family: U4 spliceosomal RNA
About the family: U4 small nuclear RNA (U4 snRNA) is a component of the major U2-dependent spliceosome. The structure of U4 snRNA from yeast and human has been reported.
Source: Ensembl